Molecule: long non-coding RNA, 225 nt
Filed under: Elaeis guineensis (African oil palm)
Lineage: Eukaryota; Viridiplantae; Streptophyta; Magnoliopsida; Arecales; Arecaceae
Description: long non-coding RNA (EGUI_LNC022071)
Source: RNAcentral
UUUUCAUCCAAAUUUUAAGCCACCCCACUUUAAAGAACAGAUGGCUUUAGGCACCACUAGCUGGUGUAGCGAACACCCCCUAGACAAUAUAGGGGCACCCAAUUUUGUAGCCAACAAAGCCAUUCUUUUGGUCGCAACAAUUGGUACGUCUCAUGUGACGAAUGACAUUUAUCUAAAAAGUUGGGUUUAAUGUUACCCGGAAAGAAAAAAAGUUGGGUUCAAGGC